Long non-coding RNA from Rana temporaria (common frog), 230 nucleotides. RefSeq lists it as uncharacterized. Lineage: Eukaryota; Metazoa; Chordata; Amphibia; Anura; Ranidae. The transcript has 3 exons. The record is from RefSeq and is a predicted model, not a curated record.
CUGUCUCUACUGACAAUAGGCAUUUUUGCUUACUAUUGACAGUUUGCAUAUGUGUUUCCACAUGUGCUUUCCUGAUUUUUCAGAUUAAUUCUAUUAAUGGCUUAAAAUCCUGCUGUGGUUCUCCUGAACUAUUCUGAUUUCCCUGACGACUCUGGUUCCUUCCUGUAUGGUCUGCUGUCUUUUGCUGUUUUACCUUUUUGCAUUGUAUGUCUGAAAGCUCCUGAAGAAAC